ACGGGAGGCAGCAGUGAGGAAUAUUGGUCAAUGGGCGCGAGCCUGAACCAGCCAAGUAGCGUGAGGGAUGACUGCCCUAUGGGUUGUAAACCUCUUUUGUUUGGGAAUAAAGUCAGGGACGUGUCCCUGUUUGUAUGUACCUUUCGAAUAAGCAUCGGCUAAUUCCGUGCCAGCAGCCGCGGUAAUACGGAAGAUGCGAGCGUUAUCCGGAUUUAUUGGGUUUAAAGGGAGCGUAGGCGGACUGUUAGGUCUGUGGUCAAAUGUCAGGGCCCAACCUUGGCAUGCCAUGGAAACCGGCGGUCUUGAAUACACGCAAGGCAGAUGGAAUUCGUCGUGUAGCGGUGAAAUGCUUAGAUAUGACGAAGAACUCCGAUUGCGUAGGCAGCUGACCAGGCCGUAAAUGACGCUCAUGCACGAAAGUGCGGGGAUCGAACAGGAUUAGAUACCCUGGUA
This 453-nucleotide ribosomal RNA is filed under the name uncultured Paraprevotella sp. Its description in RNAcentral is "partial 16S ribosomal RNA". It matches the Rfam family "Bacterial small subunit ribosomal RNA", at positions 341 to 792 of the family's 1533-position model. The record is from RNAcentral. Lineage: Bacteria; Pseudomonadati; Bacteroidota; Bacteroidia; Bacteroidales; Prevotellaceae.